AUGGCAAUUGUCCAUACCUACGGGAAGCCUGACAUCUUCCUGACCAUGACCUGCAACCCUAACUGGGAAGAGAUAACGAAUGAGUUGUUUCCUGGUCAGACAGCGCAAGACCGGCCUGAUCUUGACAUUAGG
RNAcentral lists this ribosomal RNA (132 nucleotides) under Triticum aestivum (bread wheat). RNAcentral's name for it is "partial small subunit ribosomal RNA". Lineage: Eukaryota; Viridiplantae; Streptophyta; Magnoliopsida; Poales; Poaceae. The record is from RNAcentral.